Molecule: long non-coding RNA, 807 nt
Organism: Drosophila willistoni
Lineage: Eukaryota; Metazoa; Arthropoda; Insecta; Diptera; Drosophilidae
Exons: 3
Source: RefSeq, a predicted model, not a curated record
GAAAAGUUACUCAAAUUUACGAAGAGAUGAUAGUAUAGAAACCGAUAAUUAAGCCGAUAAAAAAGCUAAGAGAAAUGUCAUUUAAGUAUAUAAAUGGCUAAGUUAGGUUUUUUCCUUUUUAAGCACUUGUCAGCACUAAAAUUUCCAACUUUUAGUGUUAAGUAACUCAAAAAAUACAUAAAUAAACGAAAUAAUUUUUAUCACAAAUUUGUUGAAUUCAAUUUACAAUAGUUCUAGAGCUCAAGCAAAUUGCUUUCGAAAUCCAUGCCACAGAUUCUCUCUCUCCCCCUACAAUGAGAAAUAUCUCUUGCUAAGAUUUGUGGAACGCGUUGCACCAGCCGCCACAGCAACAGCAGGCAACUGACCAACCAACCGAUCAGCCCAACCAACCAACUAACCUAACCAAAAGCCAGCCACUUGCAAAGUGCGUAAGGAAAUCAAAAGGAGAAACAGGAAAUUUUGUUGUGCAAAAACAAAAACAACAAAAAACGAAAAAUAUUUCAUAACCUGACACAAAUUGCCAAAGAUGACAAAUGCGGAUGAUAAAACCGAUAUCGAAAAAGAUAGAGAUAGCUGGAUGGAUGGCGAAAGGGAAAGAUGAAGAUUUUCACUCACAAAUUGGCUAUCAGCAACUUCUCUUAAUCUUUUUUGGGAUCUGGUCAAUACACCCUUUUUGCCCGCAAACUAAAUGAAAAUGAAACGCUUACUCGUUUUGGCAUACCAAGCAGAUGUAGCCUGGGCAUAGGACUGAAAUCUAAGCUUCAACUUGUUAUAGGGUAUUUCAGUAGAUGCAUUUUUUGUUUUUCA